RNAcentral lists this ribosomal RNA (438 nucleotides) under uncultured bacterium. RNAcentral's name for it is "bacterial SSU rRNA". It matches the Rfam family "Bacterial small subunit ribosomal RNA", at positions 954 to 1392 of the family's 1533-position model. The record is from RNAcentral.
AUGGGAACGCGAAGAACCUUACCUAGACUUGACAUCUUCUGCAUUAAUCGUAAUGGAUGAAAUCCCUUCGGGGACAGAAUGACAGGUGGUGCAUGGUUGUCGUCAGCUCGUGUUGUGAAAUGUUGGGUUAAGUCCCGCAACGAGCGCAACCCUUAUCCUUUGUUGCCAGCGGUCCGGCCGGGAACUCAAAGGAGACUGCCAGUGAUAAACUGGAGGAAGGUGGGGAUGACGUCAAGUCAUCAUGCCCCUUAUGUCUAGGGCAACACACGUGCUACAAUGGUGAGUACAGAUAGAUGCGAUACCGCAAGGUGGAGCCAAACUCUAAAACUCAUCCCAGUUCGGAUUGUAGGCUGCAACUCGCCUACAUGAAGUUGGAGUUGCUAGUAAUCGCGAAUCAGAAUGUCGCGGUGAAUACGUUCCCGGGUCUUGUACACACCG